UCGAGGAUCUUCGGCAAUGGGCGAAAGCCUGACCGAGCGACGCCGCGUGCGGGAUGAAGGCCUUCGGGUUGUAAACCGCUGUCAGUGGGGAGGAAAUUUAGGAGGGAUCACCCUCUUAUUUGACCUAUCUGCAGAGGAAGGACGGGCUAAGUUCGUGCCAGCAGCCGCGGUAAUACGAACCGUCCUAACGUUAUUCGGAAUCACUGGGCUUAAAGGGUGCGUAGGCGGCCUGGUAAGUUGGGUGUGAAAUCCCUCGGCUUAACCGAGGAAUUGCGCUCAAGACUGCCCGGCUCGAGGGAGACAGAGGUGAGCGGAACUUAGGGUGGAGCGGUGAAAUGCGUUGAUAUCCUAAGGAACACCGGUGGCGUAAGCGGCUCACUGGGUCUUUUCUGACGCUGAGGCACGAAAGCUAGGGGAGCGAACG
This 424-nucleotide ribosomal RNA is filed under the name uncultured prokaryote. Its description in RNAcentral is "bacterial SSU rRNA". It matches the Rfam family "Bacterial small subunit ribosomal RNA", at positions 355 to 774 of the family's 1533-position model. The record is from RNAcentral.